This 625-nucleotide ribosomal RNA is filed under the name Labrys khuzestanensis. RNAcentral's name for it is "SSU rRNA". It matches the Rfam family "Eukaryotic small subunit ribosomal RNA", at positions 1030 to 1665 of the family's 1831-position model. Lineage: Eukaryota; Metazoa; Nematoda; Chromadorea; Rhabditida; Tylenchidae. The record is from RNAcentral.
CCGUAAACGAUGCCAACUAGCGAUCCGCCGGCGGAUUCCAAACGCCCUGGUGGGGAGCUUCCCGGAAACGAUUAAGUCUUCCGGUUCCGGGGGAAGUAUGGUUGCAAAGCUGAAACUUAAAGGAAUUGACGGAAGGGCACCACCAGGAGUGGAGCCUGCGGCUUAAUUUGACUCAACACGGGGAAACUCACCCGGCCCGGACACCGCGAGGAUUGACAGAUUGAUAGCUCUUUCAUGAUUCGGUGGAUGGUGGUGCAUGGCCGUUCUUAGUUCGUGGAGUGAUUUGUCUGGUUUAUUCCGAUAACGAGCGAGACUCUAGCCUACUAACUAGUCCGCGUGCUCCCGCGUGGAGGCACGCCCCCACUGGACUUCUUAGAGGGAUUUUCGGCGUUUCAGCCGCACGAAACUGAGCAAUAACAGGUCUGUGAUGCCCUUAGAUGUCCGGGGCUGCACGCGCGCUACACUGGCGAAAUCAGCGUGCCUGUCCUCUCGCGAAAGCGACUGGUAAACCGGUGAAAAUUCGCCGUGCUUGGGAUCGGAAAUUGCAAUUAUUUUCCGUGAACGAGGAAUUCCAAGUAAGUGCGAGUCAUCAACUCGCGUUGAUUACGUCCCUGCCCCUUUGUAA